GACGAACGCUGGCGGCGUGCUUAACACAUGCAAGUCGAACGCUGAAGCUCAGCUUUUGUUGGGUGGAUGAGUGGCGAACGGGUGAGUAACACGUGAGUAACCUGCCCCCUUCUUUGGGAUAACGCCCGGAAACGGGUGCUAAUACUGGAUAUUCACUGGUCUUCGCAUGGGGGUUGGUGGAAAGGGUUUUUCUGGUGGGGGAUGGGCUCGCGGCCUAUCAGCUUGUUGGUGGGGUGAUGGCCUACCAAGGCUUUGACGGGUAGCCGGCCUGAGAGGGUGACCGGUCACAUUGGGACUGAGGUACGGCCCAGACUCCUACGGGAGGCAGCAGUGGGGAAGAUUGCACAAUGGGCGCAAGCCUGAUGCAGCGACGCCGCGUGAGGGAUGGAGGCCUUCGGGUUGUGAACCUCUUUCGCUCAUGGUCAAGCCGCAACAAUGGUUGUGGUGAGGGUAGUGGGUAAAGAAGCGCCGGCUAACUACGUG
Molecule: ribosomal RNA, 483 nt
Filed under: uncultured bacterium
Lineage: Bacteria
Description: partial 16S ribosomal RNA
Rfam family: Bacterial small subunit ribosomal RNA
Source: RNAcentral